AUACUUACCUAGUAGGAAGAUACCUUGACCACGAAGGUGGUUUUUUCAGGGCAAUCUCACUCAUUGCACUCCAGAUAUGGUGACCUGUGUGACUGGCUCAGAUGUGGGAGAUUCAAUUGCAUAAUUUGUGGAAAUGGGGCCUUUGUUUGCAUUUCCACUGA
Sorex araneus (European shrew) is the source of this 161-nucleotide small nuclear RNA. RefSeq annotates it as U1 spliceosomal RNA. NCBI's taxonomy places the organism in Eukaryota, Metazoa, Chordata, Mammalia, Eulipotyphla, Soricidae. The transcript has a single exon. The record is from RefSeq and is a predicted model, not a curated record.